This 116-nucleotide ribosomal RNA is filed under the name Pteropus alecto (black flying fox). The record is from RNAcentral. Lineage: Eukaryota; Metazoa; Chordata; Mammalia; Chiroptera; Pteropodidae.
AUCUAUGGCCAUGCCACCCUGAACAAGCCUGAUGUCUGAUCUCGGAAGCUAAGCAGGGUCAGGCCUGGUUAGUACUUGGAUGGGAGACCACCUAGGAAGACCAGGUGCUAUAGGCA